UGGAGGACUGAGAAGGUUUAGCAGCUUGUUCUGUGCUGUUAUAACUGGUUAUAACCUCCUAAAUGAAAAUAAGUCAGAUGCGACAAACCGGCUACAUGUGACACAUUAGAGCUGGCGUUGUGUUUGUGUACAGAUC
Small nucleolar RNA from Hucho hucho (huchen), 136 nucleotides. NCBI's taxonomy places the organism in Eukaryota, Metazoa, Chordata, Actinopteri, Salmoniformes, Salmonidae. The record is from Ensembl.